This 433-nucleotide ribosomal RNA is filed under the name uncultured bacterium. RNAcentral's name for it is "partial 16S ribosomal RNA". It matches the Rfam family "Bacterial small subunit ribosomal RNA", at positions 29 to 507 of the family's 1533-position model. The record is from RNAcentral.
AACGAACGCUGGCGGCAUGCCUAACACAUGCAAGUCGAACGAGACCUUCGGGUCUAGUGGCGCACGGGUGCGUAACGCGUGGGAACCUGCCCUUAGGUUCGGAAUAACUCCCCGAAAGGGGUGCUAAUACCGGAUAAUGUCUUCGGACCAAAGAUUUAUCGCCUUUGGAUGGGCCCGCGUUGGAUUAGCUAGUUGGUAGGGUAAAAGCCUACCAAGGCGACGAUCCAUAGCUGGUCUGAGAGGAUGAUCAGCCACACUGGGACUGAGACACGGCCCAGAAUCCUACGGGAGGGAGCAGUGGGGAAUAUUGGAACAUGGGCGAAAGCCUGAUCCAGCCAUGCCGCGUGAGUGAUGAAGGCCUUAGGGUUGUAAAGCUCUUUUACCCGGGAUGAUAAUGACAGUACCGGGAGAAUAAGCUCCGGCUAACUACGUG